Molecule: unclassified non-coding RNA, 377 nt
Filed under: soil metagenome
Description: partial contains 5.8S ribosomal RNA, internal transcribed spacer 2, and large subunit ribosomal RNA
Rfam family: 5.8S ribosomal RNA (bases 1-120)
Source: RNAcentral
GAUGAAGAACGCAGCGAAGUGCGAUAAGUAAUGUGAAUUGCAGAAUUCCGUGAAUCAUCGAAUCUUUGAACGCAAAUUGCACUUUCUGGUAUUCCGGAGAGUAUGCCUGUUUGAGGGUCAGUGUAAUAAAUAAAUCGUGGUUGUUACCACUUUUCGUGGUGACGCUUCGGAAUUGAGUCGUCUUACCCUUCGGGUUAAGUGAUUUAAAAUUUUUUCAUACGAUUUCGAAACGUAUUUAAUGUAUUAUGUACGUUCACGAAUAUCGAAUGUUUAUUAGGUGCGGUCAUUUUCAUGAAUUCGCGUCUAUAAUUUUUUUUUUUUGACCUCAAAUCAGGUAAGAAUACCCGCUGAACUUAAGCAUAUCAAUAAGCGGAGGA